This is an RNA transcript of Pyrus x bretschneideri (Chinese white pear), 1455 nucleotides long. It is a transcript of the gene named NADH dehydrogenase [ubiquinone] 1 alpha subcomplex assembly factor 3, with no coding region annotated. The record is from RefSeq and is a predicted model, not a curated record. The transcript has 6 exons. Lineage: Eukaryota; Viridiplantae; Streptophyta; Magnoliopsida; Rosales; Rosaceae.
AGGAUUAAACUGAUUUGGUUGGAGAUGGCCUUCACACCCUUGAGAACGAGAAAGCCAACGCCAGCGGCUCAUGCCCAUUCAAGCGGGAGGCCUGGGCAAAAUGACCCGACUCAUGACCCAAACCCAUGUCUAGUCCGCGCCAAGCCCGCGCUGCUGUUGUAUAUGCCACCGUUUCGCUCUUUGGCAAUGGCAGGAAAAACCUCUGCUAUGCUUUGCUUCCGGUCACCCCACCAAUUCCAAUCAUCAAUUCUCAACUUUCUUCAACGUUUUUCAGAUUUGGAAUCGAACUCACGUUUGAUUUUCCAUUUUCUUCGAUCCCCACUUGAAAUUUUCAGCUAAACAUAGAUUUCUCCGACGAAUUUCAGAUAUCAGAGAGGGAGAGAUGGGGAUGAGAGUGAGAGCCCUGGGGGCACUGCCGAGCCUCAUUCGGAGCCUCCAGAAGGAAGCCCACCCGAAACCCGCAAACCCGCAAUCGCUGCCGUCGCUGAGACGCGCCUUCUCUCUCUACGAUCAGAUCAAUCUCAUCGACAACGUCCCCAGCGACCAGCUUCGGUUUCAACGGUACACGGACACAGGGUUCACAGUGAAUGGGGUGGACUUUGAAGGAAGCCUACUGUGUGUUGGAAACAUGUUGAUGUCUUGGGCUCCCAACAAGUUCUCUCAAAUCACUACUGAUAGCCUAUCCAUCUUUCGAACCGUGCGACCUGUACCAGAGAUUUUGAUAAUUGGCUGUGGAAGGUACAUUGAACCUGUAAGUCCUGAACUACAACGCUUCAUCCGGUCUACUGGAAUGAAACUAGAAGCCAUUGACACGCCGUACUGGUACUGUUAUUAGCAAGAGUAGCAGUGGAUCCUUAACCUUGUGUAUAGAAGAGAGCAAUUAAAUCAACCAAACUUGCAACAUUUCCGGAACGAGAAUGAACAAAAAUGAAAAAUGCUGUAUCGACCUACAACAUACUCAAUGAGGAAGGGAGGAUUGUGGCUGCUGCACUUUUACCAUACGGGAUUUCCUCAUGAUCUGCAGACCGACUGCAGGAUGCUGGCUUUCUGCAUAUUUUUCCUAACAGUCUCGACUACAAUAACUAGCUUCCUGGUCAUCAGCUUAUUAGUAUAAUGUCGACUACAAUAACUGCGGGAUUGUGGUUGCUGCACUUUUACCGUACGGGAACUGUUAUUAGCACUAAAAAAAUCUCAUUCUACGCUCUACAAGUGUAAUUUUCUUUCUAAUUAUAGAAAGUUUGGAGUGUAAAAUAAGAUUUUUGGAGUGUUAAUAACAAUUCACUUCAUAGAAAUGUAUACAUUGAGAGGAAAAAUGAGGACCACAAGUGCCAAUAACAACACAUUGUAUUCUAUAUAUAUUUUUUACACAUCAGACACAAUGUUGACAUUCAUGAUGUUAAGUGAGACAUUUUGAGUUUCAGGAGGCAAAUUAAGAAUGAAAUUGAGUUUCAGGGA